RNAcentral lists this long non-coding RNA (7115 nucleotides) under Setaria italica (foxtail millet). RNAcentral describes it as "long non-coding RNA (SITA_LNC006689)". Lineage: Eukaryota; Viridiplantae; Streptophyta; Magnoliopsida; Poales; Poaceae. The record is from RNAcentral.
GAAGUUCUGGGAGUAGCUGUGCAAGUCGUAGCCGAACCUCACCGCGGCCUGCCUCGGCCGCGCGGCGCGUCUCCUCCUCCAGGAGGACCUCAGCCUCGACAGCAGCUGCUUCACCGCCGCCGCCGCCGACCGGCCGCUGCUCCUGCUGCCGCUGGCGUACAGGCUCAGCUGCAGCUGGGUUGCCAUCGCCUCUUGAUCGCUCACACACUUCUCACAAGGUUGUAGCUACCCUCGCAACUAGCUUCCCUCUUUGCUCCGAGCACACGAGCUAUCUCUGCAGCUGGUAGCUUCUGAACUGAAGAUCCUGUGCAGAAGAAACCACCCAUUGUGCAGCUUUUAUAAUAAGCUCGCGGUUGGGGUGUGUCCCGACAGGCGUCAACGUCGCCAGCGGCCAGCGAGACCCAGCCAAGCGGCACGCACGCACUGACUCACUCGCGUACAUGGUGACGAGGAAUCCACUGUGACCGACGGUCAUCGGAAUGGUUCAGGCAAAAGCCGAUUUCAGGCAUCUUUAUUUUUCGGAAUCGCCGUCGUGCAGUCCAUAAGCAUGUGUGCAUUCGGUUUGCUGGUAGGGCUUUAAGAUCAGGUGGCGGUUCGGCGCGGUGUCCUGUUCCAUCAUUCCAUUGCGCGGAGCUGCAUGCACAUGCAUGGACGUGUCGACACGCGCGCAGCGGCGCCGGCGGUGUUGCAUGUCACAUACUCACGUGCAAAAUGCGUUCCACUGCAUAGGUGUGGCCUGCCGAAUCGAUCCCAGAACAUGCAUGCAUGGCUACGAGAUUCGCCCGCUUGCAAUGCAAAGUACUAGUGCUGAACAUACAGGGGAUGUCAUCACAGAUCGGGAAGCCGGUUUUACGAGACCGGUGGUGAUGUCUUCCAUUGAUAAUGUUUCUUUUCACUGCCAGUCCAUAAAUAAGUUCGGUGAUGAAAUUAAAGCAGACCUCCAAAUCCAAAAAUUUUAUCACCUACUCUUUUUUUAUCAACCUGACGUCCGCUCUCUUAUCCUCUCCCGUCCCUCACUCCAUCCCCACCGCCACCCCUUCAUCUCCCACCGUGCGCGUCCCUCACCUCCCCCUGCCACCCCUCCCCUCCGAGCGGCAAGCCCCUCCCCUCUCUCUCCCCCCUCUCUCCUCUCCCUUAUCCACUCCCAGCCCCCCUCCCCGACCCGGUCCUGUCCUCUCUCUCUCCCCCCCUCUCUCUCCCAAUCUCCUCUCUAAUCACCACCGGGUGGCGGCCGGAGGGUGGGCUGAUUUUUUUUGUCUCUUUCUAAUGAACAUCACCGCUGGGUUCAGCUCCGUUGGUGAGGGGAUGCCGUUGACCCUUUACCAACAACACCCAUAACCGACGGUGAUGUCGUUUUUGGGACCGACGGUGAUAGGAUCUUGUGUAGUAGUGAACUGAUUCUAAAUUUUUUGGAUGAUCUUAUCCUUGUACUACUAGCAAAUUAAAUCCGAAAGUAUGUAACUUCACAGUACAUCACGUGUCGAAGUUUGGAACAUGGUCUUUGGAUAACGGAUAGCUUCAAAAAAAAAUGUCAUCGAGUCAGUCAUGCAUAGGAUCGAGGUGGGAGCAGAUCACAAAGUGUCGCCUCUACCGACUACAACCCUAAAGAAAAGAGUAAAGGAAACGCACUAGGGUUUAAAGCAAAAAACUCUAGAUGAGAGGAACAAAAGCUGUUAUUUGCAUGCAAUAGAGUAAUCGGUCUGAUCCGGAUGAUCUGCAGAUCACCGAAAAGGGACGGUCGUUGGCGGCGGCAGCAUGGGGAUGUCGUAUAAAUCAUCUGAUCGAGUCAUCAUGGUCCAAGGAUGAUUGAUAAAAUUCACUGUUGAGGUUUUGCCUUGAUGCUAGUUAUCACUAAUGGCGCCGCUCCCUUUGAUUUCCUUCAACCCGAGAUCAGUGAAGAUUGAAUUUUGAUGAUUUUGACGGGUGAUGCUUCCUACUAAUUAAAGUUCGAUUCCAAUAGUCUUUGUUUUUCCAGGACAAUUGCAUGGAUCUUUUAAGGAAUUUUGUAGGAUUAAUCUCAGUAAUAAGGGAACGCUUUUUUCUUAUGAAGUGAUUUUGAAUAUUUGAUUUUUCUUCAAAAUUCACGCUUGCUAGCUAUUCUAAUACUCCAUCCGUCCCAAAUUGUAGGUCGUUUUAGCAUUUCUAGGUCAUGAAUCUAAAAAUCUAAAUUGACUUACAAUUUGGGACGGAUGGAGUAGUAUUUAACACAACACGAAUAUGAAAAAACACAAUAGUAUAGCGAAAGUACUAGUGCAUGACAUUAGAGGAGGAUGAGAAAUGCCAUUUGACGGGUUCAUAGACCUGGGGUCCCCAAUGAAUCCUCCUUUUCACAACGCUCGGCCCAACAGGCGGCACAACGAUGAUGCGCGCCUGGGCCGGCCCUUAUACGCGAUGGUAGGUCGUGACCACGAUCCGGCCACCGACCGGCGCUCCCGAUCAGGAGGCCUUGUUGGCGCCCCGACCAAGGGGCCUGGUCGAGGCUAGGGCCACAAUCCGACUCCGACCAAGCUCCCCCGAUCGGGGAUGUACCUCUGAUCGGACCGGCGCAUAUCGCUCCCUCAGUCGGACUGAUCGGGACGACCGACUGGGGACACCCACUCGGCAUAGGCUUGGGGAGCAGGUGGAGCGGAUAAGGGAAGACGCUCAGGUCAACCGCCAUACAGAGGACUGUACCUCGCCACGCCCUGUGCACGCAACGCACAGUACCACCCUGCCAUGUCAGGUGGGCACUAUGCUACCUACCCGUCACGAUGGAGCGACCUGACGAGAUGAAUAGGGAUGGAGGGCGAUGGCCACCCCGUACCCGACAACGUGGGCACUAACAAGAUUAGGCAGCACCCGUGCACCUUUUCUCUCCCUCUCUCUGACUUGUAAGGCCGUCCCCUUGAACUAUAAAGGGGGGCGCUCUCUCUCUCUCGAUCGAUCGAAGACUCUCUGACUCUCUCCAACACUUAGCGCACAUUUGAGCCCCCAUCACUCUCCUCCACUCGGACCAGAGCACGACCGAGCCUCGAACACCUCCUUCUCCACUCCUCACUCGUUUGUAUCCCCGCUGCAAACUUUGAGCACCUAGACUCAGGAAUACAAUCGACCGACCGACCCCCGACUGGACGUAGGGCCCGUUGCCCGAAGCAGUAUAAAUCCUGAGUCAUUGUGUGCUAGGUCAUAUCCGAUCAAACUACGUAUAUUUUCCAGUAACAUAUGAAGCAAUCAAGCAUUGUCUUCUAGGCUUGUUCACUUUUUGGUGCCAACCCGUUCAAACAGGCAAACCAGACCAUAGAAACUAGCUAUGCGAUUCCCACCGGGUUGGGCUAAACGAACCGCGGUUUGAAACCAGUCAACCCGCUGAGAAAGUACCUCGUUGAACUCAUCAGCAACCAAUGCAGCUACGGCACCGCCCCACAGCUAGCCUAGCAAGCGAAGCGGUAGAUGCUCAAGCUGCAGCGGCAAGAGUCUCUCAUAAAGCUCGCGACCCAUCACAUCCUGUAAAUUAGUGCAUGUUUUCUUCCAUUUUUUAUCUAUUCCUUUCUUUCGCUGCAUUGGCAACUAAGCAAGGUCGUCGAACAAGCAUGCAAGCAGAGCUGGACCUAGGAGGAUGGGCAUGCUGUCAUUUGUUUCUGCAGUGAGAUUGUUCCUGCCGUUGCCACCGAAGAUGCUAAGGUCGCCAGCCGUCUGUUAUCGGCGGCAUGACUUCAAUUUCCGACAUGGCGAACUCGUGGAGGCCGCACAAGCGCUGGUACUUCAAUUCCUUGCGAGAUAGAGAUCGUGGAUGUCGCCCUUCUUCGACUUCCCAUGGUGUAGACUUCCCAUGGUGUACUUCCCAUGAUCUCGAGCGCUCGCGACGAUCUGCUUUAUCUCUGGUUCUAAACCGCAUAGCCCGUCAAACCAACCCGACUAACCCACAAACGUACGGUUUGGUUUAGGAAACCACCCUAAACCGCCGUUGAACAGGCCUACAUAGCCUUCCCGUGAAAAAGGCCAAAAAUACGCGCAUACGCCAUAUAACAGCUCAAAAUGAAUAAAUUAAAGCCAUCCAUUCCAACGGCUGAGCCGAGCAAUCCGCCGAUUGCUGAAUGCUAGUCUUGCUGUCAUGCAGAGCUAAUUGCACAGAAGAAGCGAAUUCUAUCUAUAUAUCUGUAUAUACAACUGUACAAGUAUGGCAUGCAGAAGAAGGAUCGCUAGAUCCCAGCUACAAGCGGUGGCUGCCGGAGGAGCUUAAGCCGUCGUCGAAGUUCUGGGAGUAGCUGUGCAGGUCGUACCCGAACGUCACCGCGGCCUGCCGCCUCCGCCGCGCCGCGCGUCUCCUCAACGUGGACCUCAGCCUCGACAGCAACUUUGUCACCGCCGCCGCCGAUGACCGCCCGCCGCUCCUGGCGUGGACCCUCCUUUGGUUGCCGCCGGUGUACAGGCCCAUCACAGACGCCAUCCUCUCUUUCUUGUCUCUCGAUCGCGGCCGCGGAUCGCUCACAGAGCCACAGCCGCAGCGUUCUCACAAGGCACAAUCUGCCCGGCCUCUUUUGCUCCCUCCCUCAGUCCCUCGUAGCUACCUGCCCUGCCUACCUCUGAAGACCUUGUGCAAAAGAAAGCACCCAUGGGUGCUCCUUUAUAAGCUGGGGCAGGGGAUGUGUUUCGGCAUGCUCUGACGUCGCCGCGAGACCCGCCAGCAGCAUGGUGACGAGGCUUCCACUACAGCGAUCGUCGGAAUGAUCCAGGUAAAAGCCGAUUUCAGGCAUCUUUUCGGGAGUCGCCGACUCGCCGUCGUGCAGUCGAAAAGAAAGAUAACCGUCUACCACCAACCCCCCGCACAGUGCAUGACUGCAUGUGCACUUGGUGGUAGCCUUUGUUUCGGUCACUGAACUAGGAUGUGAGGUGGCAAAACAAAAUGGCUAUGGCAGCAUCUCGUCGUCUCAGGCUCUCAGCGUCUUUGGUUUCCGCUGCCUGCCGCCUGCCAAAUCGACCGGUGUACGAUGCCGGUGGAGAAGAUCAUAUGAAGCGACGAGCUAGAACAUUCCUUGUAAUGUAGGAAAACUAAAUCCAAAAGUGUAUAUAUAUAUAUCCACAAAGCUUCUUGGAUAUCUUCAAAAGAAGGUGUCAUCCAGUCAUCAUCAUGCGUAGGAUUGAGGUGUGAGCAUGUCAGAAAGUGUCAUCUCUACCGAUUACAACCCUAGAGAAAGAGUAAAAGGGAACGCACUAGUGUGUUAAAUUAAAGAAAAAAAUUCUAGGUGUUAAAAUCUGAUACCCCUCGUUACGCGCAGCAGCCCCCGAAUCUUGAAAGGAUAUUGCGAGUAUGAUAUGAGCUUGCACCGUAUGAAGAAGAACGUAGAUGAAUAUCGUAGAAAACCCUAAAUGAUGGCAUGGAAGCAACCGCGAUAAGAGAAUAGAAUUUUAGCAAAUCCGACCGUAGAUUCUUUAAGCACAACUUCCAAAAGAGUACAAGUGAUUGUUGCUCCCUCACGACCCUACUUGACCCUUUAGAUUCCUCCGAUUCUUGCCCUAUACAAGAAUCUAGUGCUAUAGAACUGUCUAGCCUAUCUCUCUUGAGCGCUCCUAAUUGCCUCUCACAAGUCUUAGAUGAGACCUUGGUGUUUGCCUUUGGCUUGAUUUAUUCCUAGAGGCUCCACCCCUUGUUUAUAUAAUCCCCUCCAAAAUCCUCAUACAUGCAAAUAGGAGUCCUACACUUAAAUAGAAUUCAAUGCUAAGUCCUAAUAACAUACCCUAUUAAGUCCUAAUCAAGUAGGACCAUGCAACACUAGAUGACAGGAAAGCUGCGAUUUGCAUUGCAUGCGACGGAGUCGUCAGUCGUCUGAUCGGAUUAUCGGCGUACAUCAAUAAAAGACAGGACGGUGGGUGGUGGCAGCAACAUGGGGAUGUCGCAAAAAUCAUCCAGUUGAGUCAUCAUUGUCCAAGAAUGACUGGGAAAUUUUGCUUUUGAUAACCAAAAAAAAUUACUUUUGAGGUUCUGCCCUACUAUAAUUUUAGGUUACUUCAAUACUUCCUCCAUUCCAAAUUACAAGUCAUUACAACUUUUCAAACAAUUUUAUGUUUGACCAAAAAUUAUAGAGAUGAUUACAAAAGUUUAUGGCACCCAAUAAUAUACUAUAAAAAUAUAUUUAAUGAAGAAACUUAUGCUACUUAUUAUUUGGUAUCAUAAAUGUUAUUACUUUAUUGUAUAAAUUUGGUUAAACUUGAGAUGUUUUGAUUCUCCAAGAAAGUUGGAAUGAGUUAUAAUUUGGAAAGGAGGGAGUAACAAUUACUAGCGAUAAAGCAUACCCUUGACUGCGAAAAGAGUCAAACAUACGAGCAUAUAUGGCUAACAUCAGGUAUCCCUGCCGGCUACCUCCAUUAAUCAGAGCACAUAACAGAUCGAAAUAAACAAAUUGAAGCCAUGAGCAAUCCAUUCCAACAUCUGGGCAAAGCAAUCUGCCGAUUGCUGAAUGCUGAUCGAUGGCAAGUAUAUAGUCUUGCUGAAUGCUGACCUUCUAAACAAAUAAUUGGACGAGCUAGAGCUAACUAGCUAACCACCGGAAAUCAACACUGGACUCGAUCUCUCGGUGAGGAAGAAAUAAGCACUAAUCACUUGGCUAGUUACACAGAAGCAUAUGUGCAGCAGAAGGAUCGCUCCCAGCUACAAGCGGUGGCGACUGGAGGAGGCGAGGCCGUCGUCGAAGUUCUGGGAGUAGCUGUGCAGGUCGUAGCCGAACCUCACCGCCUGCCGCCUCGGCCGCGCCGCGCUUCUUCUCCUCCACGUAGACCUCAGCCGCGACAGCAGCUGCUUCACCGCCGCCGCGGACUGGCCGCCGCUGCCGGUGUUCAGGCCCAGCACAGACGCCAUCCUCUCCCGAUCGCUCACAGAGUCACACUCGCAGUGUUCUCACAAGGCACAAGCUCGCAACUAGCUGCCCGGCCUCUUUGCUCGUCGCUGCCGGCCUCUGCAAUUACAGAUUCUGAUCAACAAGAGCUUGUGCAAAAGAAAGCACCCAUGGUGCUGCUUUAUAAGCUGGGGCAGCGGGAUCGCGGCGAGACCUGCCAGCAGCAUGGUGACGAGACAUCCACUACGGGCCUACGGCGAUCAUCGUGGACGGUCCAGGCAAAAGCCGAUUUCAGGCAUCUUUUUC